This 65-nucleotide transfer RNA is filed under the name Sadoletus valdezi. RNAcentral's name for it is "tRNA-Leu". Lineage: Eukaryota; Metazoa; Arthropoda; Insecta; Hemiptera; Heterogastridae. The record is from RNAcentral.
UUCAAUGUGGCAGAAUAGUGCAAUGAGUUUAAGCCUCAUAUAUAAAGAUUUAUCUUUCAUUGAAA